AUGAAGUUGGAAUCGCUAGUAAUCGCGGAUCAGCAUGCCGCGGUGAAUACGUUCCCGGGCCUUGUACACACCGCCCGUCACACCAUGAGAGUCGGGAACACCCGAAGUCCGUAGCCUAACCGCAAGGGGGCGCGGCCGAAGGUGGGUUCGAUAAUUGGGUGAAGUCGUAACAAGGUAAC
Molecule: ribosomal RNA, 179 nt
Filed under: uncultured bacterium
Lineage: Bacteria
Description: partial 16S ribosomal RNA
Rfam family: Bacterial small subunit ribosomal RNA
Source: RNAcentral